This is a non-coding RNA of Musa acuminata subsp. malaccensis (wild Malaysian banana), 1214 nucleotides long. The record is from RefSeq and is a predicted model, not a curated record. NCBI's taxonomy places the organism in Eukaryota, Viridiplantae, Streptophyta, Magnoliopsida, Zingiberales, Musaceae.
AAGUUUCAUUUUUCUCUUUUAUAUCUUAUUAUCAGUAUGUAAAAGCUUCAUGCAAUGAACCCAGAACAACAAUCAGUUUUCAGCAGCGAAAGUGUUUUUUGUUAUGCAACUGAUGGGGACUUGGAGAUUUAUUCUGGGUUCUGUGUGCAGAACUUUGUUGUGAAGGAUCAGUUUGUUAAUGCAUGGGAAGAAUUCAACUCAAAAACCUUGAUCAAAUAGAUGAAGUUCAAAACCUUGUUCUUGUCCAAUGAAUUAAGUAUAUUUCACUUGUAUAUUUAUUCUUAGAGAAAAUGGUCCAUCAAAACAAAUUGCAUCAUGAUGGUCAUGUAAUUUUUGGCAACAGGAAUGCAGGUAUCAUGACAUUGGAUUGCUAGCAUAGACUCAAGAGUUCAGAGAGGCACUUACCAGUGGCAAGCAGACAAUGCUAGUUGUUUAUUAGGGCUUCAGCAAUUGUAGCAUCUGUAGUCGGUGAUAGCUAAUGCGUUGCUUGAAUCAUGCAAGAGCUUCACAUGAGAAGAAGAGAGCCAAAGGUAGCCAAGGACAAACUUGCCAGCAACUCGCAAACAAGGAGAUUUUGUUACAAGGCAAUGCCGGCAAGUCAUCCUUGGCUGCAUUCCACUCUCUGCCUCUUCAUGCAAAGCCCUCAGCAAGCAUCUUCAUUCCCUUAUUCCCCUCUAGCAGGUAUGCAGCCCUUUCCUCUCCAUAGCAGGUACGCAACCCUUUCCUCUCCAUAGCAUUCCAUCUUGCAACUUCUACUACGUGUUCUGGACAGAUGAAAGAGUUGGUAUAUAUAGGCCAGGGUAGUGUGUUGGUAAUUCAUGGAAUGUGCCUGAUCCUUCUGGUUCCUGUGGAUAGCCAAUGGAGUGAUACGGAGAGGAAUUCCCCAAAGUAUGUGAUACGCGCUGCCUAUUAGGAGAUAUUCCAAUUUUGGUAUUAUGCUGACUUGCUGAGGUCUCAAAAUGGACAAGUGGUCCAAUCUCCAUUACUCAUGGGAUUUUAGGCCUUAUAAGAAGGCUGUGAAGGUGGUCUGUGGGGGCGGUUUUCUUCUUGCGAUGUUUGGUAGGCUGUCAUGGGAAUAGAAUCAUGGGUGGAGGCCACACUGAGAUAUGGAGAGGGGUCAUGUGUGUCUCGUGAUUUCAAGGAUGAGUCAUAAGAUCCGCUUCUUAUUGACUCUGUCAAAUUUCAUAGCUUGCAUAAUUUGAAAGAGUGUUUUC